UUAUAAGAAGUAAUAAUUACAUUUAAAUUCGAAUUAAAAAUUGAUUAAGUUAUUUAAUCCUUAUAAA
RNAcentral lists this transfer RNA (67 nucleotides) under Rediviva intermixta. RNAcentral's name for it is "tRNA-Arg". Lineage: Eukaryota; Metazoa; Arthropoda; Insecta; Hymenoptera; Melittidae. The record is from RNAcentral.